This 445-nucleotide ribosomal RNA is filed under the name uncultured bacterium. RNAcentral's name for it is "partial 16S ribosomal RNA". It matches the Rfam family "Bacterial small subunit ribosomal RNA", at positions 354 to 796 of the family's 1533-position model. The record is from RNAcentral.
GUGAGGAAUAUUGCGCAAUGGAGGCAACUCUGACGCAGCCAUGUCGCGUGCAGGAAGAAGGCGCUACGCGUUGUAAACUGCUUUUAACCGGGAAGAAACCCCAGGACGUGUCCUGGGUUGACGGUACCGGAGGAAUAAGCACCGGCUAACUUCGUGCCAGCAGCCGCGGUAAUACGAAGGGUGCAAGCGUUAUCCGGAUUCAUUGGGUUUAAAGGGUGCGUAGGCGGAGCGUUAAGUCAGUGGUGAAAUCCUGCAGCUUAACUGUAGACUUGCCAUUGAUACUGGCGCUCUUGAGUGCGCUUGAAGUGGGCGGAAUGUGCCGUGUAGCGGUGAAAUGCUUAGAUAUGGCACAGAACACCAAUUGCGAAGGCAGCUCACUAAGGCGAUACUAACGCUGAGGCACGAAAGCGUGGGGAUCGAACAGGAUUAGAUACCCGAGUAGUCC